Molecule: long non-coding RNA, 30314 nt
Filed under: Carica papaya (papaya)
Lineage: Eukaryota; Viridiplantae; Streptophyta; Magnoliopsida; Brassicales; Caricaceae
Description: long non-coding RNA (CPAP_LNC010552)
Rfam family: Small nucleolar RNA snoR77 (bases 12514-12636)
Source: RNAcentral
UUCGUUCUCUCUGAAGGGAAGAGUGCAGAAAAUGGGGCUCUUCUACUUCCGAGUCUUCUCUCUUGCGGCGAUUUAGAGGUUGCGUCACGGAGACGCAGCUCAGCUCCUCUAUAAAAGCGCUGAGACUCUCUUUCCUCCUUCCGCCUCUGCCGUAUCCUGAUCCGGUAAGGUUUUCUUUUUGAUUGCCCAUCAGAUCUGGUCCCGCUCCGAUCUUCUAGAGAUUGGAGGCGGUCUUCAUUCUCUCUGAACGGAAGAGUGCAGAAAAUAGGGCUCUUCUACUUCCGAGUCUUCUCUCUUGCGGCGAUUUAGAGGUUGCGUCACGGAGACGCAGCUCAGCUCCUCUAUAAAAGCGCUGAGACUCUCUUUCCUCCUUCCGCCUCUGCCGUCUCCUGAUCCGGCCGAAAAUGCUAAAUUACCCUCAGCCUGCUGUGUAAUUGUCUCAGUAUUACUCUUUUGGGCUCUUACAAAGCAAUGGAUCCAAAUGUUGCACGAGCUGUUGAGUAAUUUCCAACUGGUUUUGGUGAUUUGCUUUUAUUAGUUGAGAUAAAAAAAAAUAAAACGAAUUAUUAAUUUGGUUUCGGCAUUAUAAAAAAAAAAAAUUGUAUUUGAAAAAUAUUUAUGUAGUUAGACGAGCAAAGAAGAAAAAUGUUUUUGAUGAUAGUUAAAUUCAAAAUUUAAAAUAAAAAAUCACACUCAAUACAUCUUGGUGCUGGAUUCAAAUAUUUUCUUUCGAAAAAAGAAACUUACGUACGUGUAUUAAUAUCGGUGCCUGUGCGCAUUUUCAAAAUUUUCACGAGUCUGCUGGAUUCAAAUAAUGUAUCGUUCUUGUUUCUCUCACGCUUUUUGGUUGUAUUUGAGCAAUAAUUUGUCAGAGGCAGCAAGCCAGAUCUGGAAAUAUGGCAAGUUUUUAGAAAUUGGUGCUGCGCGUUUAAUCAUCUUUAACCAACAAGACCUUAUGCUGGUUUUCAGGUAAUUCUCUUUUGUUUCGCUCCCUUUCAAUCUUCUUUAAGAUCUCAGAAUGGAAGUCCCCAGCUUCCUAUCUCUUAGUCUCCUCUUAAACCUGAAGGUCAUUAUUUUUGGCCCGUCCAACAGUUCUGUUGCAGUCAAGAGAAAGGUUUCCAGGAUAUGCUUGAGAUGCUUGCCUCGUACAAGGAGGGGGUGUGUACCAUGUGGGAACCGUGUUCCCAUAAUCUUGAUUCUGUCCGGUUCCAUCCAAAGUGCAUAAAGAAACCUAGUUCCCACGCUGGAAACUGAUAACAGUGCUCGGUAUUUUAUGUUUAUUACCAGUUAUUGUUAAUUUAUUGCGUGACUUUCAUGGGAGUUGCAUAAAUAUGUCUUGAUCCCUUUUCUUGUUCUUUGAUUUACCUGGACCAUAUUCUGAAAAUAUUGUAAUCGUCGCUCGGUAAGGUUAUGGAUUGCUGGUUCAAGAGGUUUGCAAUAUCUAUUUUCACUCGUAUCACUUGGUGCUGGAUUCAUAUGUUUUUCUUCUGUAAUAAAAAGUUACGUAUGUGUAUUAAUACUGGUACCGAGGGGGCACUGCGCACUUACAAAAUUUUUACAAGUCCGCUGGAUUAAAAUAAUGUGACGUGCUUUGUUCCUCUCGGCGCUCUUUGCUUGUAUUUGAGCAAUCAUUUGUUAGAAGCAGCAGGCCAGAUCUGAAAAUAUGGCAAGUUUUUAGAAAUUGAUGCUGCGCCUUUUAGUUGCCAACACGUUCUUAUGUUGGUUUUCAGGUAAUUCUCUUUUGUUUCACUCCCUUUUAUUCGUCUUUAAGAUCUCGGAAUGGAAGUCCUCAGCUUCCUUGUCCCCCACAUCUUUGAGUCUCAUCUUAAAGCUGAAGGUCAUUAUUUUUGGCCUGUCCAGCAGUUUUGUUGUGGUUGAGAGAAAGGUUUAAAGGAUGCAUGAGAUGCUUGCCUCGUACAAGGGUGUCUAUUAUGUGGGAACCGUGUUCCCAAAAUCUUGAUUCCGUCUGGUCCAUAGUCCCUGCAAAGUCAUUCCAUCCAAAGUGCAUAAAGAAACAUAGUUCCCACGUUGGAAACUAAUAAUGUUGUUCCGUACGACGUUUGUUACCAGUUUAUUUUUUGUUUGAUGUUCGCGGGAGUUGUAUCAGUAUGUCUUGAUCCCUUUUCUUGUUUUUUGAUUUACAGGGACCAUAUUCUGACAAUAUUAUAACGCUCGCUCGGUAAGGGUGUGGAUUGCUGGUUCGAGAGGUACGCGACAUCUCUAUUUACACUCGUAUCACUUGGUGCUGGAUUCAAAUAUUUCUCUUUGGAAGUAAAAGUUACGUAUUUGUUUAAUGUUGGUACCAAAGGGGUACUGCUGCGCAUUACAAAAAUUUCUACAAGUCUGCUAGAUUCAAAUAAUAUUUCUCUCACGCUUUUUGGUUGUAUUUGAGCAAUAAUUUGUCAGAGGCGGCAGGCCAGCCAGAUCGGGAAAUAUGGCAACUUUUUAGAAAUUGAUGCUGCGCGUUUACUUUACCAACAAGUUCUUAUGUUGGUUUUCAGGUAAUUCUCUUCCGCCCCGCUCCCUUUUAAUCAUCUUUAAUAUCUCAGCAUGGAAGUCCUCAGCUUCCUUGCCCCCCGGGCCCCACUUCUUUUAGUCUGCUCUUAAAGCUGGAGGUCAUUUUUUUUUGACGUUUGUUGUAGUCAAGAGAAAGGUUUCUAGGAUGCAUGAGAUGCUUGCCUCGUACUAGGGUGUCUUUUAUGUGGGAACCAUGUUCCCGUAAUCUUGGUUCUGUCUAUGGUUCGUAGUCCCAUAUGAACGAGGAUGCUGUGUUCUCGGGAUUUUUAUCUGAUGCGAGAAAGGUCGUCAUUCUUUAUUUCGAAGCCACAUUAGAUUGAUUUUGUGUCCCGGUAAAAGUGCCCUACUUUAUUUUAUUGAAAGUGAGAGUAAAUUGAUUUAUUGUUUCAAAAUAAAUUUGCGUCCGUGUUUAAUGGAAAAUUUUACGAUUUCUUCGGAGAAAGUAGAAUUCCCCAUGUCCUUCGGGUAGUUGGAACUUAAAAAGAAUGUGCUUGGAUCUUCUAACAGCAAGUAAAUAUUUUUGGGCAUUGUUUUAAGGUUCUUGCUUCCUUUGGUAGAAAAUAAUUUUUUAUGGUGUUCCGGUCCUGAAUUAUUGCUCAGAAACUGAAAGCAUGUUUUGUAAAUCUUUUAAAAAAUAAAUGAGCUUGAUGAACAAGAAAAUUUCCCAUUCUUGAGAAAACAAAAAAUGUUCCCUGUUCCCCCGGGUAGCACCAACUGUGAGAAAAUGUGUCUUGAGCAUUUUGAUUCCUAGUAAAUAUGUUUUAUGUGUGUCGCUUCUGCAGUGAAAGCUAUCGUGAUGGGCACCCUUUCUCUCUUAGACGUUGCAAUUGGAUUUUCUAGUAUUUGAUAACCAUUUACAAAAGAUAUGUAUGCUCGGUUUUGGGAACUUUCAGAUUUAGUUUAUUGGAGAAAUGUUGUUGGUAUGUGUUUUGAAGCUUCAUUCAUGAAAUAUAGCCGGUGAAGGAUCAUUGUGGGCCGGGUCUCUUGAGUAGAAAACAGUAUUUGUGCAGCCCUUGCAUGCACAAUGAAUGUUUUAUCUGAGAUUCUCGGUCCAAAAUGUAAGAGCUUCAAUUCCAUAUUAACUACAUUUCAGUCCCAAAAUACUAGGGAAGCCAAUAUUUCAUUUUGAAAGUUAAAGGGUGUUGAUAUGUGUUUUGAAGCUUCAUUCAUGAAAUAUAGCCGGUGAAGGAUCACUGUUGGCCGGGUCUCUUGAGUAGAAAACAGUAUUUGUGCAGCCCCUGCAUUCACAAUGAAUGUUUUAUUUGAGAUUCUCGGUCCAAAAUGUAAGAGCUUCAAUUCCAUAGUAACUACCUUUUCAGUCCCAAAAUACCAGGAAAGCCAAUAUUUCAUUUUGAAAGUUAAAGGUUGUUGCUGUGUGUUUUGAAGCUUCAUUUAUGAAAUAUAGUUGGUGAAGGAUCAAAAUUGGCCGGGUCUCUUUGAGUAGAAAACAUUAUUUGUGCAGCCCUUGCAUUCACAAUGAAUGUUUUAUUUGAGAUUCUGGGUCCAAAAUGUAAGAGGUUCAAUUCCAUAUUAACUACCCUUUAGUCCUAGGAAAGGCAAUAUUUCAUUUUGAAAGUGGAAGUUUUUGUCGAUAUUUCAAAACAAACUUAUGUGCCUCGGUGCAUGAGAACGUGAAUCUUGAUUUUUUGUGGCAAAAUGAAACUGCUUGCAACCCUCAAGAUGUACAGCCUCAAAAAGAUGUGGCUUAAAAUCUCAAGCCAAAGUUUGGGUGCGUCGGUUUGAAAGUGAGAGUUUCUUUGAUCACGCACUUUCUUUUGGAGAGUUAGGCGACGUUUCACUUAGUGGUGGCAAUAUGCUCUCCCAAUCUAUUUUUAGCGCGGACAGAAAAAGUUUCGUGCUAGGUUAUGGGAAUCGUCAUUAUACGUGGAAGAGGUUGCCGUUCUUUAUUUUGAAGCCACAUCGAUAAUCUAGUUGCAGCGUUUUUCCUCUGUAGAGGUGCCCCGAUUCGAUAUUUUGAAACCGACACUGUAUUUACUGAUUCUUUUAAAAUAAGUGUGCCCCUCGGUAUUCAAGCAGAAGUUUCUCUGUUUUUUGGGGAAGAGUAAAAUUGCUCUGUUCUCUUGGUUGGUUGGAACAUAGAAAGCAAUAUGUUUGGAUCUUUUGAUUGCAAGUAAAUAUUUUUUCGGCACGUGGUUUUAAAGCUUUUUGGCUUUUGUUAAAGAAUAGUUUUUUUAAAAAAAUAUAUAUACAAAAGAAUAGUUUCCUGUUUUGGAAGUUUCCUGGUUUGGGAAGUAAAGGAGACUCAAUUUAUACUUUAAAACCUAAAAGCUGUUUUUAUGCAUUAUUUAUGGAUAAAUGUGUGACUUGAUGCACAAGAAAAUGAAUUUUGAUUUCUUGGGGCAAUGUAAAUCUGCUUGGGUCCCUCUCGCAGUUCCAAGUUUUAGAAAAACUUGCAUUGACAAAGAUUCGAGGAUAUUGUGACAGCACCACUUCUGACACGGUAACUUGCUUUCAAUAUUUAGUUUACGUAAGGCAUACGAGAUGUGUUUUGAAGGUUUUGAAACCCAUGGUCUGUUGCUGCGAAAAUAUAUCAUUCGGAGUCCCGUAUUCAGAAAGUAAAAGGCCUCGAUUAAUCUUUUCGAAAGCUAGCCUGUCCAUUUAUUUUUUGAAAACGAUUUUUUUUGUUGGUCCCCUGAGCAAAUGUUCCUCAAUUUUUUGGGGCAAUGUGAGAUUUUGCAAAAUGUCCCUUGGAUAAUUCUUUCUCUAGCAAAAUGUCCCUUGAUCUUUUAGUUGGAAGUAACUAUUCUUUGCUAUGUUGGUUUAAUUAAAGUUUCUCUUGAUCUUUUGCUUUCGAAAUAAAUCUGCAGGUGUCCCCACAGGGAAAUUGUAGCAGUUGGAAAAGUAAGUGGAGGUCAAGUAAUUUUUUUAGAAACUGAAGGCGUGUUCUAUCGAUUAUUUUGAAAGAUAAGUGUGCCUUGGUGCAAAAGAAAAUGACUUUGGAUUUGCUGCAGCAAAGCAAAACUUUUUUGAUGCCCUGGGUUUUCGGAACUCUAAAAGUUGUGGUUUGGACUCUUGAUUCAAAGUAAGUGUUUUUGAGAAUACGUUGGUUUAAAGGAAAAGUAACUCUGAUAACAAACACCCUUUCUCUUGGAGAGUUGGCAGCCUUUCUCUACGUAACUGGCAGUGUGCUUUCUCAAUCAUUUUAUUGCUACGGGCGUAAGACAUGAUUGCUCGGUUAAAGGAGAUAUUCAUUUUAUUUGAGAAAGGCCUUCGUUCUUGAUUUGGAAGCCAAUUUGAUGAACUUCAGUAAAAGUGGGCGAAUUCUUUUUCUCGCAAAUGAGAGUGCUUUGGUUUAUUGUUUCAAAAUAAAUGUACUUUGACUCCUAGGCAACGGGUUUUUAAAUUUCCUUGGAAAAAGUAAAAUUCAUCCCGUUGCUCGGCCAGUUGGAGCUCAAAAAAAGCAUGCAUGUAUGCUGAAUUUGUCUUGGUUUUAAUCAUUGUUCUAAUGUAGGUCUUCAAAAAAUUGACCGAGAAAACUAUUUGAGAGAGCUAAACCAUCGAAGUCUAUCGGACCCAAAGUGUAGUAGUCUUACCAAACUUCAGAUCUUGUGGGAUCUUUUCUCUGUUUACUUUUUUUUUUUUUUUUUAAAGCAAUAUCUGUGGUUAAAAGAGAUUGGUAUGUUUAACAUGCAAGGCAACUACGGAGCCUGGCGUAACCGCGUCAAUAUUAUGUUGCUGACUUUUCUUUGCUGUAGGUACGUAGCGGGAAACUUGUUUAAGCGGAAAGAACGGAGUUUGUUCCAGUGGCUAUCUACACGAACAACGUGUGCUACGCGGAAUGUGAGUAUUAUGUUACCCUGGAUUGUCUUGAAAAUAUUUCUCUCGCUGCUACUUUGUUUAAGAAACAUUUGUAGUUAUACAAAAUUAACGUUUAGAACAUGCCAGACGGUUAAAAAGCUACAGAUAACAGGGUAUGCUAAUUUUGCCACCUUUUCCUUGGUGCAGCAAAUUGGAGCGAGGGUGAAGCCUUCCUAAGUGUAGAGCUACAGAUUGAAGGUUUUUGGACCCUACUUUAUUUAAUUUAAUAGUGGAACUUAUCUUUCUUGGAAAAUAGUAAAAGAGGCAAUCGGUCCUGCUUUGUUGUUGUUUACUAGAGACGUGUUAUUGAAAGGAACAAAUGAGGUUUCUUCCCGUUGCUGGUUAUGCAGGCGACGAGUGCGGCUGCGUGGCUUCUGAGUGUGAUUUUACUCCGUGUACAUCAUCAGGAAUGGAGUUUUUACUCUUACCGAGUUUUAUUUUAUAGGGUUGUCGUCCCGUAUUUGUAUCUGCAAUUUGUGUAGUGUUGGAACGGAAGUUUAUGGCUUGAACUUCCAUUUUGGUGGAUUUUCGUCUUGGGAAAUAAGUCAUUUAGCGUGGUCCAAUUCCAGUGGAGUUCAUGGCAACCACGUUGGCUCUUAAUAAGCGGACUGAUCCAGUGAAUAUCCUGCAAAUUUUGUGCAUGACUAGGGAUCUUUUGUUGAUAAAUAGAUCUCGGGGCGGUUGGGCGGCCGUUCAUCAAAACUAAUUUUACCAAACUAGUAGAAUUCUUGUCGUAGUUUAGAUUAUUGGAAUUUUUUUUCCGUUUUUGAUGUUUUAUUUUUGUCUGUUGUCCUUCAUUGCGUGUUAAGCAUUUGUCCUUUAUAUUACUCUACUCGAUUUUAGCUUUUUCAUUUGAUAAUUUUGUUCGCAUGAUCUGAUGCUGGAAUCAGGUUUCAGGUGUUCUGCAUGUCACGUCUGAUUUGUUAAUAUUUUUCAUCUCAUUAGGUAAUUAUCAUAUCGGCAUUGGUAGGUGAUAUUACUCUGCUCAAUUUUAAAUUUUAUUAUUUUGAUAAUUUCGUUCACAUGUGCUGAUGUUACAAUCACGUUUCAGGUUUUCCGCUUGCUAGCCAUUUUGUCAUAAUUUGGUCCCAUGACCUGUUAUAUAAAUUCUGAUUUAUCCUUUCAAAUGGUGCUUUUUCUCACAGCUAAAAUCCUCUCAAAGAUGAGUUCCCGUUUAAUAAUCCAUUGGUCAAGGUCGGUAAGAGAAAUUCAACCGUAGAGAUGUGUGGAGAAGUGUAUCGCAUAGCUCCAGUUACUCUUACUCAACAGCAGCAAGCUUUCCAUCAGAAAAGGAGAUCUAGAGCAUACCAGGGGAAGGGACCAACUGUGUUCCUUAAGGACGCGGAUUCCAUACCUCCUGAUGUAGACCCCAAUACAACCAGAUGGAUUCCAGCCAAUCAUUUUUUUGCAACCACUGCAGCUGACAUUGAUUAGACCUGGCACAAAACAAUAUGUAUCAGGAGCAUGGUGUUCCAUUUCGUAUUCAGGCUGAGCAUGAGGCAGUAGAGAGGAAGCUUGAAGCGGCUUGAAUGGCAUGCAUGGUAACAGAGAGUAACUUUUCACUAUAAAAUGCCCUAUAUAACCAUAUACAUUCUUCACUGAAGUUGCAUCCUACUGAAUAACUUACAGUAAAUCCUGUAGAAGGUCGGAAGCCUAACCCAUAAUGAACUAAUAGUGAAAGCACCAGCGGGCUAGUCAGUUUGGGCAUAAACCUAAAAUUGAGUUUCUCUACUUGCAUUAUCUCUUAUCAAAAUAUUAAUCCUGUAGUUUCAGGUGCUAAAGAUACUUGCAAUUAUGGAAGUAGAAAUCAUACUGGUAAACCUAUGAUGCGCCCUUGACUUUCGAUUCUAAGGCCUUGUUUUACCAGGACGGAUUUGAACCUUUCUUUGUUUUUUUUUUUUGACAAUUUUGGAGGUGGGUUCUGGAUGUUUGCUCAUAUGAAAAUAUGAAAUUGAUUUACCAGAUCAACACCAUAUAACAGAAUUUACGCUAUCCGAACUUUAUUCUGGGUUAUUCUAUUGCUUUUAAGUUAUUAAGGUCUGAAAUAUAUAUAUAUUAAAGUAAUUUCUUUAUGUGUGUCAGCUUUUUUAUUUAGGAGCGAAAGUUUAUUGGAGUUAUAUUUACUCAAAUUUUGUCCCAUUAAUAAUGAUAACUACUUAUGACACGUUACUCAGAAAAAAUUAUUUGUUGUUGUUUUUUGCAUGGAGAAAAAUUCAAUGACCCUUUCUUGUAUGACACCUUUAGCACUCAUUCCUAUUCAACAAUGCUCUAUGCAAAGGUAUUCUUGUAUGACACCUUUAGCACUCAUCGAUACCUGCGGUAAAGUACAAAGAAAAUAAAAGAAAAACGGCCCGCAAACUGUUUCAACCACUCAUUCUUGACAGCUGCAGCUUGUCUAGCGCCAACAACAAAGAACUCUGUAAUGACUUCGAGAGGCAUGCCUUUGGUUUCUGGGACUUUCAGGAACACAAAGAUCCAAGAGAUGAAGCACACAAUCGAAUAUAUGCUGAAGACGCUUGCUAAGCGUUUUGAAUUGAUCAUUACAGGCAGAGCGUAUGUCACAAUAAUGUUGCCGACCCAAAAAACCGUGGCACAGAUAGUAAUGCAAAUGCCACACCCUUGUAGGGAAGAUCACAGUGCAGAGGAUAUUUGGAAUUGGCCCAUAUGCCAUGACGAGGCCGCAGAUGUGUGAUACACAAGCUGAUGGCGUUGCUGCAUUUAUAACUGUGCUCAACUUCACUAGUGGGCCAAUAACUAGAAUGAUUAGUGACACUAUUAGUGCAGGAAUUGUCGCAAGUAGCAGCCGCCUGGCAAUGAAGGAUGUGUGAGUUAAAGAGAAAGUAAAAUAUUAUGAGCAAAUGCAUCUUGGGAGACACUGUAUAUGCUAUAUUUAUCUGUUGCUAUUGGGGAAACCAAGGCUCUUGGUCCACCUGAUGGCCACAAGCCUCUGAGAUUUUUUUAGUGAUUUGAUCAAUUAAGAGCUAUUUUGCUUUUGCAUGCAGAUUUUCAAGUACGGGAAUGCAGGAAACUCCAAGAACAAAAAUAGAUAAGCAUAAAAGAAAAAUAGGGGUUGGAGUUUGCUUCUUUUGCUAGUAAAUCAUGGUACCAAUAGAAAAGGCAGCUGUCAAUGCUAAAAUGUGUAAUCUUGCCACUAUUAUUCAUCACAAAUUCUAUUCGCAUGUCUAGAAAAUUUUUUUGGUCAGAUCGAUGCACAUUUCUAAUAAACAUGUCCUGGAUUUUGUUAUGUUUUCCUUUUUCUUAAGCUUUGUUGCAGCUGUCAUGGCAAUUAUUCGGGACCAUUAACUAGUAAUUCAGGUAACUUCAUUGCAACGGCGUGGCAAUUGAGGUGUUUGGUUCAUAUAUUAAAUUAUAUUUUUUGUUAUUAAAGCUGGUCUAAUAUGACUAAAACACAUCUUGAAAUUUUUUAUUUAAAAUUUAUGAGAAUUUAAAAAUUAUUUUAGAAAAUAUUAUAUAUUAAUUUUCAGUUUUAUUUGUUAAUAAAAAAAAUAACAGUAAUAUAAUUAUAUUAUAUAUAUUUGAUGGCUUUUUUUAAUCCUAUUUAUGACUUUUUCUUUUUUACUAUAAAGGGGAUUGUUUAAAAGAGUGAAGCUCGGAAAAUGCAGCCGACCCCUCAUCUCUUAUCCUUAUUAUAUAACAGAAGCUGAUGACUUCGUCGCCUAAUUCUAGGUACGUAAAUUUUGUCAAUCGAAGCGGAAGCCUGCUAUGCUGUUAAUGCUGCUAUCUAUUCUCUUUUGUAUGGUUGUUGUUUUGUUUUGAUUCCUGUCAUAUGUUUUUUAGAUCAAUACCACUGUAUGUGAUUUUUUUUUUUCUUUUUCUUUGUCGGAGUUCUCAUCAUUUUGUUUUUUUUUUUUGUAUUAUUGAGAUGAAAUUGUUAGUUUGAAUCCUGAUAGCUCAAGAGUGCUGUUUAGUUUUUUGCGCACCGGCAGGCUUGUCACUUCUUCUGUUGAAGUUGGCAUAAUGGCUGAUCUAAUGUGGUAGGCUAUGUGGUUUUACACAAGUUAACAUGCAGCACCUGUAGAAGGUAAUCUCUUCACUGGAAAUGUUGAGAACUUAGUUAAUCCAUUUGUUGAUUUGCAUGACUUUGUUCAAUGAGUUUAGUCAAAGAUGCAAAUGGAAGGUUCUUAAAUGAUUUUUUUUUAUUUAGUUGUUGUGGUACAUUAGGUAAUGACUGUAUAGAUUUAUGUUAGAUACAUUUCUUCGACUAUAGUGAAACAGAGAAAACGAACGACCAUUAUUAGUAACUGCUUGGAAUUCAGUUGCUGAUCUAAUUAAUGUUAGCUAUUUACUGAGAGGAUUUUUUUUGUUUUUGUAAUCAAAGAGAAACUUACUUCAUUUAUUGUGACCCAUUUCUUGCUGUCACAUUCAAUUAUAUUCUUUUAGCAUUUUUGAAAUUUUCGAAUUUGCGUUGGUUUUCUUCUUCUUUUUUCUUGUAUUUGUUAUAGGGGCGGAGGGGGACAGAAGAGGGUUUUAUCUCUGCUAUGCUGGUAAGAUUUUUCUUCAUUCUGUUAUUUUUUUUACUCGAGGCUUCUGAAAAUUAAAACCACAAAAAAAAAUUAAGAAAAGAAAAAAAAAAAAAAAACCGAACAAAGAAAAGGGCAAUUAAAUUGCCAGGAAACAAUUUUUCAGGUACCUGGGGUGUGGAAGGAGGGAGCCCAGGGGAAUAAAUUUGCUGGGAUAUACACACGUCAUGCAGAAAAUCAGCACUUUGUUUGGGUGCAGCAGUGAUGGACCUGGGUGCUCUACGCAAGCCCACCAGCACACUCACCAGUGAGCGCGUACAUAAUGCAUUGUGCCCCCGUGCAUUUGCCCCGUCGCUGUUUCAAGCCAUUAUGCCUCAGAUGACAUCAAAAAAGUAAUUUCAACCUCAUCUGAUAUUUUUGUUAUGUAGGACAAAUAAUGUUGAUUUGUUUAAUCAGGGAUUUAGAAAUAAAAUGAGACAUCGCACCUAGAGUUUUUUAAACAUCAUAUUUAAGACGUUUUAAGAAUCACACUUAAGUGUUCGAUUGUAUUAUUUUCUUUAAAUAUCUUUUUCUAACUAGAGAUAGAUUAGAAAAUAAUAAAUUAAUAAAAUUAAAAAUAUUAAUCUUAAUAAAAAUGAGAAAUUAACACUAAUAAUGUUAGAAAUCCUAAUAAGAAUAAAAAUCUCAAGUUACUAAAAUUAAAAUAAUAUUCUUAAAUAAUAAUUAAUUAUAAUUUUUAAUUUUUUAAAUUACGUUUUUUACUCUUCACGCUUGGUGAAUUUUAAAUUAAAGCAUAUGCCCUUUAUAAUUUUAUUCACAUGCGCUGAUGUUGGAAUCAGGUUUCAGGCGUUCUUCAUGUCAAGUCUGAUUUGUUAAUAUUAUGUAAUCAUUGUAUCCGCGUUGGUGGAAGUUAUAUUACUCUGCCCAGUUUUAGUUUUUAUCAUUUUGAUAAUUUUGUUCACAUGUGCUGAUGUUAAAGUUACGUUUCAGGAUUCCUGUGACCUGUCAUAUGAAUGAUAAAGGGCAUAUGCUUGAAGCAGCACAAAAUGUAAGCAGCUUGAAUGACAUGCAUGGUAACAGAGUAAUUUUUCACUAUAAAAUGUUCCAAAUAACCAUAUAUUCUUCAGUGAAGUUGCAUCCUUACUGAACAACUUACAAUAAAUCCCGCAGAAUGUUGGAAGCCUCACCCAUAACGAACUAAUAACGAAAGCACUAGCAGGCUAGUCAGUUCGGGCAUAAACCUAAAUUUGAGUUCCUCUCCUCGCAUUAUCUCUUAUCAAAAGAUUAAACAUGUAGUUUCAGGUUCCUAAGAUACUUGCAAUUAUGGAAGUAGAAACCAUGUUGGUAAACCUAUGAUGUGUCCUUAACUUUUGAUUCUAAGGACCUGUUUUACCAGGAAGGAACUAAACAUUUCUUCUUUUUUUAUGGGUUCUAGAUGUUUGCUAUUGAUUUACCAUAUCAACACUACAUAGCAUAAUUUAUGAUAUCUGAACUUUAUUCUGCAUUGAUCUAUUGCUUAUGAGGUAUUCGUGUCUGAAAUAUAUAUGUUAAAGCAAUUACAUGUCUAGAAAAUUUCUUUGGUCAGAUUGAUGCACAUUUCCACUAAACAUGUCCUGGAUUUUGUUCUGGUUUCCUUUUUCUCAAGCUUUGUUGCAGCUGCCAUGGCAAUUACGCAAGACCAUUCAACUAGUAAUUCAGGUAACCCCGUUGCAACAGUUGUGGUAAUUGAGGUGUUUGCCUCAUAUAUUAAAUUAUGUUUUCUGCUCUUCACACAUGCUGAGAUAUGAAUUUAAGCUGGUCUAAUAAGGCUAAGCGCAUCUUGAAACUAUUAAGCCUUAUCUUCACUGAAAUCUAGUGGAGACUUUUCAUCAAAACUAAUUUUACCAAACUAAUAGAAUUCUCGUCCUAGUUGACAUUAUUUUGGAUUUUUUUUCCCUUUUUUCUUUCCUGAUUUCUUAUUUUCAUCUGUUGUCCUUCGUUGCAUGUUAAUCAUAUGUUCUUUCCCUUCUGCACCUCCCCUAUUCAGCCUGAUCCAAUCAUCCUGUCACCAUAAAGAUUUAAGAUAAACCAAAUGUGAGCAAAAACAUCUUUACCUUUUCUUUUAUUUUUAAAAAUUUUUCUUCCUAAAAAGUUACAAGGAUUAUUGAACUAAACAGAUUAUUGGUCAAACUUUUACAUAUUUCUUCUUAGUUGGUAGGUUUUUCUUUUUUUUUUUUGAAAAAAAAAUAUUACAUAUAGUUUUUUUACUGAUUGAUGAUCAAUCAAUAUUGCCUCUUUAAUGGUUGAAAUUUGCAGUGGGUUACAUAUUUAUCUUUUUGUUCAUGUUCUUUCCUAAUUCGUUAAUUUCUUUGAAAAUAUAUAAUGACUGCAUAUUUUUAGGAUGUAUUACUCUAUAUUUAUGUGAUUUAUUAAUUCGUAUUUUUAUAAUUUUUUACUAUUUAUUUUUAGGAGUGUUUGUUGAUUGUAUAGUAAUUCGAAAGUAUGUAUUUUAUUACAAAAGAAAAAUAAUAUUAACAGAAAAUAAAUAAGAAUUAAUUAAAAAUGUUAUGCAAAUUUAAAUUUUAAAUCAAUGUAAAAAUAUUUGUUUUAUAGGUUUAUUAUUUUAUUUUAUGUAUAUAAGAUAACAAUAUUAGCUAAAAUAAUAUAUUUUAUUAUAAAAAUAGAAUAAUAUUGUCAGAGAACAAGUAUUAUUAAAUAGGAAAAUAUUAGUUAAUUUAUCGUAUAUAGAAUUAUAAAUAUAUUUUAAUUUAUAUAAUAAAAUUUUUAAGAUAAAUAUUGAUAUUUAAUAAGUAUUGUAAUAUUUAAAACAUUUUUAAAAAAUUUGUAGGUAAAUUAAAAUUAAAUUUUAUUUUCAAAUUUAAAAUGUUUAAAUAGGAAAUUUUUAUAAAAAUUAAAAUAUGGUAUUUAUUUUUAAUAAAAUAUUAAUACAUUAAUAUUAUUUUUAUAUUUAAAAUUUUUAAGAAUUUAAAAAUUAUUUUAUAUGUAUUAAUUUUAAGGUUAGUUAAUAAAAUAAAAUAAUAAGAAUAAUAUAAAUAGUUUAUAUCAUAUAUAUUGUACGAGACAGUUUUUAUUUUUUUUUUACGCUGUUUACAGUUUUUUUUUUAACGCUAAAAAAGACUUUAAAAGAGCUGGUUUACAAAAUCCGACCGAGCUCAUCCUCAAACCCGUUUCUGCAUAUGAUAUUCAGAGGCGGUGGACUAAUGAACCCUAAAACUUCAAAUUGAGAAAGUUGUUCAAUCCCAGGUACAUGAAUUUUGUCAACUGAAGCGGAUGACCGCUAUUCUUUUAACGCUGCUGCUAUAUAUUUUCCUUCGUGUUAUUGCUGUUUUGUUUUGAUUUCUGUCAUAUAUUUUCUUGAUCAAGACCCCACAGUAUUUGAGUAUUUUUUUUUCUUUCCCCUUAUUGGAGUUUUUAUUAUUUUGUUUUUUUGUUUUUUUUUGUAUUACAGAUAUGAAAUUGUUAGUUUAAAUUAUGAUGUUAUAUGAUAUAUUUUAUUAUAAAAAUAUUAUUAUUAUUGAGUGAAAAUAAAUUAAAAUGAAAUAAUUAUUAAAAAUAAAUGCUAUAAAAAUUUUAAAAUUGAAUAUUAAUAAAUAAGAAAAUAUUAGUUUUUAUUAGUUAAUUAUCUUAUUUUAUGUGUAUAAAUAAUUAUUUUUUUUUAACCUUUGAUGGUUAUCAUAUUUUCGUAUUCGUGAUUAACUUUAUCAAAUCUCUUUGCUCUUCUCCCAUUCUUUCUCUUUCUCGACCUUCUUUACUGAUACAUGUUGAGGGUACUUUUGCUGAAAAUUUCAAGUUUUCUAACUUCUCUCCUCCUCCUCUUCCUCUUUUCUCUCCUCUAAGAUUUAUUUUUUCAUCUCCUCUUUUGUUAAUCUUUUCUUAUUAGUUAUUUUAACAGGCAAUUUCCAAUGGAAGUCAAGACUGGGAAGAACAAAAUAUUUUGACGGUAUCUGUUUAUGCCUUAUUCUUCAUCACCAAGUUGUUUUGAAUUUUUAAUGCAACCUUAUUAACUAAUAUUGUAGGUUUUUUUUUUGCAAAUUUAUUAUUGAAAGUAGUUGCUACAAAUGUUUUAAUAGUUGGCAUUGAACCAAUAUUAAUAAAAGAAUCAAGAUACUAACCCUUAGAAUCAGUCAAGAAGCUUCUCAACGAGAACUAUACCUGCUUUGAGCUUAUCUUACUAGUAACUUUUUUAAACUCAAAUGUACGUGAGUACUCGUGCAUAACCAUCUUAACCAAGUCGAUCUUAUAUUCUUUUUGUAUUGUAUGUAUAAAUUUGAAGUUUUCAAUGUUACAAAACAGUAUUCUUCGCAAAUUCUAUACGCUAAAGAUGAUUGUGAAAUGGUAAAAUUAGUUUAUAGGUUAGUGGAUGAUGAAUUCUGUCAAACGGAUUGCUUGAAGGAGUCUCAUACUUUUCUCAUUUUAUUUGUGAUGUGUUAUUAUGUAAUUCUUUUAUUUUAGUUACAGAUAAAUAUUUUCUCAAGAGGUUUACCGUUUUAUGAUGUUGUUUUUGCAAGAGUUUUCUGCAAAAGUUCAAGAAGAAAUUAUGAUGAAAUGUAUUUUUUUUUAAUUGUUUUAGCUUAAAGUUGAUGUUUAAUAUCUACUUAAUACUGUUAAAAAAUUGUAUUUUUGCAUAUAUACUCUUUUCUUAAUAGACGUAGGUGAUGAAUUUGAUAUCUCAAUGGUGACAAAAACCAAGAUGAUCAAAGGGGUUUGAUUAAGAUCUAAUUGAAGGUAUGUGUGUCUUUUAUAUGAAAUUGUUUUUUUCUUUUCAUCUUUCUCUCAAGUUUUUUUCGGUCCUAAUAGGUGCUAUUAGGCUGUAAAUAAUCUCUAUAAAUGUGAAUAUUAUAAAUAGAUAAAUAAUAUUUUUUAAAAUAUUUUGAUAACAACUUUUGAUAUAAUUAGAUAAUAACUAUUUUUUCUCAAGUUAUGAUUAAAAAAUUUAUAUUAAUGUUAAGAUUUCUCAUACAUAAGUUUUUCUUAUAAAACUUUAAAUUCUCUAUGAAUUUUUACUUUAGUUUUGAUAAUAUUUAUUUUUGCACAACUCUAAAUAAAUUACAAGAAUAAAAAUUAUCAAGAAAGAAAAGUUUAUUAAUAAUAGCAAUAGAUAUAGGCGUUAGUAUAUUCAUGAAAAUAGUUUAUAUGUUUCUUGGAUCUAGUCUGAUUUGUUAAAAUUUUUCAUCCUCCUUAUAUAAUCUAUCAUGUCCGCAUUGGUAUAAAUUAUAUUACUCUACCCGAUUUUAGAUUUUUCAUUUGAUAAUUUUGUUCACAUGCGCUGAUGUUGGAAUCAGGUUUCAGGUGUUCUGCAUGCCAAGUCUGAUUUGUUAAUAUUUUCUAUCUCAUUAUUUAAUCAUCAUAUCCGCGUUGGUAGAAGUUAUGUUACUCUGCCCAAUUUUAGUUUGUAUCAUUUUGAUAAUUUUAACUCGGUUUGGCCCAGAUCAUUUUGGUUGUUCAUUCUUCGAUGUUGCUUUAGAUGUACAAACUCUAGUUUUCUGUUUAUUUUACAAGAAACUCAUGGAAAAACAAUUGCCCAUAUUGUGCUAUGUUAUAUUCUUCUCAUGAUGGUGGCAGCCUGCAGAUGUUCUGCAGUGGUCUUUCUGAAGAACAGGGCAUUUAAUUUAUUAAAGUAUCAUUAGUUAUGUCAUAAGGUAGAAAUUGUACUUCUCGCUUGUUUGAUCUGAAAAGGAUGUGAAUCAUACCAUUUUAUGUUUUAGGAAAUGUGCAGAAAUUGAAAAGUUGUAACUUGUGACCACUUGGUUUUCUACUUUGUUUCUCUGCUGUUAUAAAGUUGCAAAUGGUCUUGAAGCACACUUGAGAUACUCAUAGCUACAUCUUCUUAAAGCCCAUAUUUGGUUGUCUAGAUGUUUUUCCCCCAGGUAGUAUUGAAAAGAUGAUGGGCACAAUUCUCUAGCUCUGAUGCUAUUUAUUCAGUUUAGUAUGUGUAUUGUGUUGAUUUGGUUUGCCAAUUUUUUCUCUUUCCUGGACGGCACUGUCAUUAGGUAACUUAUUAUAUUUUUUCUUUGUUCCCUUGACCUUAAUCUACAUGCUUGAUUAAUGGCUGCACCAUUUUGUUCAAGUUAUUGUGAAAAAUAUUAAAAUUAUGCCUUGUUAAUUUAAUUGCAUGUUUCCCAGGAUAUUCCUUCCUUAGCUGCUGAUGCUGCAAAAAAGUAUCCCGGUGUAUCAUACAUCAUAACGGCUCCUCUUGGCUUGCACAAGCUCCUUGUGGUAUGAGAUUUUUCUUAUUUUUCUCUCAUGGUAUUUACAUUAAUCCUGCAAGACUUUUGGAGUCAUCACUGUACUUUCAACUUGUGCUUAGCUUUAUUUUUAGCUCUCCUUACCUGAUUGAUAUGUAGAUUAUUCACGAGUACAUGGGAUAUGACAAUACUAUUCAGUUAAUGCUAUUAAAUCAAAUUUUACCCCAUAUAUAUAUAUAUUAUAUAUAUAGGCACUAAAAUUCAUGCCCAGUUAACAGCAUUCUUAACAAAUGUACAAAAGUUUCCGAUUGACUGCAUUCUUAAUUUAAUUAAAACUAAAAUGAAAACUUUCAUCCUUAUUAUUAUUUAUUUUUACCAGCUUCCAAAAAUAUAUCACUCUUUUGCAGUGUUGUUCGCUGGUUUGAUCAAAUAGUUGUGAUCAAAAUUUUUAGUCUAGUUAUAACUACUUUUAAUUGAGAAUGCAAUCAGUUAGGAACUUAUAAACUUUCUUAUUAGGAGUGCAUAUUCCAAUUUCAAGAACACCAUCAAGUAGUAUUUCUAGGUAAUCAGACCUGUGAUUUUAUGAGAUAGACCUUGUCCUACUCGCACGUUGGACUAUGGCUUAUUUUAUCUUUUAAGAGCUCGAGAGAUCAGAAUGUGUCUGAUACCCAUAUGGCUCAUUAAGCAACAGAAGUUUCUGAUUCUCAAGGGAUAGAAUUUGUGAUGCCCUCUAUUUCCCAUUAGUAGUGUGCUAGGAUAGGCUAAAACGAGAUCAAGAAACAGAAGCAGCCAAUAUUUUUUGAGUAACACGGCAUUGAGCGACGCUACUCUGGCCAUGCUAAUUAGUUUUAUGUUUUGCAUUGAUCAUGUCCAUUUGUAAAUAAUUUCUCCAUUUUCUCACUCUCUACAGUUUUAGGUUGCAAGGUUAGUAAUGUGAUAAUUAGUUUCCUCAUUCUUUAUGGGUUUUGAACUGGUUUUUGAAAGUUUGCGUUUAACAGUUCUGUGUAAUUAGAGCAAUUAUUUGUUUUAAUUAUGUUUAAUGGGAUGAUCAAUAUUGUUGCAAGCAGAUCAGAUUCUCUUAUUGUAUUAUCGUUUCGAUAUUAGUUAAUUUGCUGAGUGACAUUCAUGGGACUUCUGUCGAUAAAACUUGAUCAUUUUUCUCAUCCUGGAAGUAUUAUAAUUUUCGUUCAAUUAGCAUAUAGUUUGCUUGCUGGAGAGGUAUGCAAUAUUUAUCUUUUGUGAGAAAGGUUGUCGUUCUUUAUUUUGAAGCCACAUCAGGAAAGUAGAUUUGAUUUUGUUCGUCGGUAAAAUUGCCUUAAUUUAUUUUCUUGCAAGUGAGAGGAAAUUGAUUUGAAAAAUGAUGCAGAGGAGGAGUUCGUGGUUUGUGGGAAGGCCUGUUGUUGGAGACUGGAACUGUCCUUUUUGCUGAGGUUCUUGGCAGAACCCUAACCGGUGAAACUGUACAGAUGCAUGGUGGAGCAGACAACUUGUCUGUGUGGAUUUGCCAGAGAAGGAAUAGAAAUUGAAAGGAAAUUUGGUGGUGCAAAAAAUCUGUAAGUAUUAUUUCUAAGGAUUAAGAGAAUAAAUAAUUUAAAAUUAGAUAACAGUUUAAAGAAUUUUAAUAGAAUAUAUUUGUACAUAUAAAUUUUUUUUAAUAAUACGCGUAUUAUUUAAUAAAUUUUUUAGAAAAAAGAAUUAUUAAAAAUUGUAUUGUAAUUAAGGGUGUUUGUUUUGUUGUGGUUUUUUAUUAUAAUAUUUGUAUUUAAAAAAAAUAUUUUUGUAGUUGGGUGAGUAAAAUAUAAAAUGUUUUUGAUAAUAGUUAAAUUGAAAAUUUAUUUUUUUAUAAAUUUAAAAUAAAAAAUUACAAAAGUUACAUGAAUUUUUAUUAAGAAUAAAUGUUAUUAUUAUUGUAUAAAUAAUAACAUAUUUUCACAAUUAUUUAUAAAAUUAUUUUUAAUGGAAAACUCAGUAAGGCAGUAAAAAAAAUAUUUAUCUUUUUAAUUUUCUCUCUCUGCCGCUCCUCAUCUUCGGUCUCUGGGUUUCCUUUUUUCUGCCCCUGAGGUUCCGCGUGUUUAUAAAGCACAGAGGUUGCGUCACGGAGACGCACCUCAGCUCCUCUAUAAAAGGGCUGAGACUCUCUUUCCUCCUUACGCAUCUGCUGUCUCCUGAUCCGGUAAGGUUUUCUUCUGAUUGCCCAUUAGAUCUGGUCCCGCUCCGAUCUUCUAGAGAUUGGAGGCGGUCUUCAUUCUCUCUGAACGGAAGAGUGCAUAAAAUAGGGCUCUUCUGCUUCCGAGUCUUCUCUCUUGUGGCGAUUUAGAGGUUGCGUCACGGAGACGCAGCUCAGCUCCUCUAUAAAAGCGCUGAGACUCUCUUCCCUCCUUCCGCCUCUGCCGUCUCCUGAUCCGGUAAGGUUUUGUUUUCGAUUGCCCAUUAGAUCUGGUCCCGCUCCGAUCUUCUAGAGAUUGGAGGCGGUCUUCAUUCUCUCUGAACAGAAGAGUGCAGAAAAUAGGGCUCUUCUACUUCUGAGUCUUCUCUUUCGCGGCGAUUUAGAGGUUGCGUCGCGGAGAGGCAGCUCAGCUCCUCUAUAAAAGCGCUGAGACUCUCUUUCCUCCUUCCGCCUCUUCUGUCUCCUGAUCCGGUAAGGUUUUCUUUCGAUUGCCCAUUAGAUCUGGUCCCGCUCCGAUCUUCUAGAGAUUGGAGGCGGUCUUCGUUCUCUCUGAAGGGAAGAGUGCAGAAAAUGGGGCUCUUCUACUUCCGAGUCUUCUCUCUUGCGGCGAUUUAGAGGUUGCGUCACGGAGACGCAGCUCAGCUCCUCUAUAAAAGCGCUGAGACUCUCUUUCCUCCUUCCGCCUCUGCCGUAUCCUGAUCCGGUAAGGUUUUCUUUUUGAUUGCCCAUCGGAUCUGGUCCCGCUCCGAUCUUCUAGAGAUUGAGGCGGUCUUCAUUCUCUCUGAACGGAAGAGUGCAGAAAAAGGGGCUCUUCUACUUCUGAGUCUUCUCUCUUGUGGCGAUUUAAAGGUUGCGUCACGGAGACGCACCUCAGCUCCUCUAUAAAAGCGCUGAGACUCUCUUUCCUCCUUCCGCCUCUGCCGUCUCCUGAUCCGGCCGAAAAUGCUAAAUUACCCUCAUCCUGCUGUAUAAUUGUCUCAGGAUUGCUCUGUUGGGCUCUUAUAAAGCAAUGGAUCCAAAUGUUGCACGAGCUGUUGAGUAAUUUCCAACUGGUUUUGGUGAUUUGCUUUUAUUAGUUGAGAUAAAAAAAUAAAACGAAUUAUUAAUUAUUAAUUUGGUUUCGGCAUUUAUAAAAAAAAAAAGUUUGUAUUUGAAAAAUAUUUUUGUAGUUAGACGAGCAAAGAAGAAAAAUGUUUUUGAUAAUAGUUAAAUUCAAAAUUUAAAAUAAAAAAUCACACUCAAUACAUCUUGGUGCUGGAUUCAAAUAUUUUCUUUCGAAAAAAGAAACUUACGUACGUGUAUUAAUAUCGGUGCCUGUGCGCAUUUACAAAAUUUUUACGAGUCUGCUAGAUUCAAAUAAUGUAUCGUUCUUGUUUCUCUCACGCUUUUUGGUUGUAUUUGAGCAAUAAUUUGUCAGAGGCAGCAAGCCAGAUCUGGAAAUAUGGCAAGUUUUUAGAAAUUGGUGCUGCGCGUUUAAUCAUCUUUAACCAACAAGAUCUUAUGCUGGUUUUCAGGUAAUUCUCUUUUGUUUCGCUCCCUUUCAAUCUUCUUUAAGAUCUCAGAAUGGAAGUCCCCAGCUUCCUAUCUCUUAGUCUCCUCUUAAACCUGAAGGUCAUUAUUUUUGGCCCGUCCAACAGUUAUGUUGCAGUCAAGAGAAAGGUUUCCAGGAUAUGCUUGAGAUGCUUGCCUCGUACAAGGAGGGGGUGUGUACCAUGUGGGAACCGUGUUCCCAUAAUCUUGAUUCUGUCCGGUUCCAUCCAAAGUGCAUAAAGAAACCUAGUUCCCACGCUGGAAACUGAUAACAGUGCUCGGUAUUUUAUGUUUAUUACCAGUUAUUGUUAAUUUAUUGCGCGACUUUCAUGGGAGUUGUAUCAAUAUGUCUUGAUCCCUUUUCUUGUUCUUUGAUUUACCGGGACCAUAUUCUGAAAAUAUUGUAAUCGUCGCUCGGUAAGGGUAUGGAUUGCUGGUUCAAGAGGUUUGCAAUAUCUAUUUACACUCGUAUCACUUGGUGCUGGAUUCAUAUGUUUUUCUUCUGUAUUAAAAAGUUACGUAUGUGUAUUAAUAUUGGUACCGAGGGGGCACUGCGCACUUACAAAAUUUUUACAAGUCCGCUGGAUUAAAAUAAUGUGACGUGCUUUGUUCCUCUCGGCGCUUUUUGCUUGUAUUUGAGCAAUCAUUUGUUAGAGGCAGCCAGGCCAGAUCUGAAAAUAUGGCAAGUUUUUAGAAAUUGAUGCUGCGCCUUUUAGUUGCCAACACGUUCUUAUGUUGGUUUUCAGGUAAUUCUCUUUUGUUUCACUCCCUUUUAUUCGUCUUUAAGAUCUCGGAAUGGAAGUCCUCAGCUUCCUUGUCCCCCGCAUCUUUGAGUCUCAUCUUAAAGCUGAAGGUCAUUAUUUUUGGCCUGUCCAGCAGUUUUGUUGUGGUUGAGAGAAAGGUUUAAAGGAUGCAUGAGAUGCUUGCCUCGUACAAGGGUGUCUAUUAUGUGGGAACCGUGUUCCCAAAAUCUUGAUUCCGUCUGGUCCAUAGUCCCUGCAAAGUCAUUCCAUCCAAAGUGCAUAAAGAAACAUAGUUCCCACGUUGGAAACUAAUAGUGUUGUUCCUUUCGACUUUUGUUACCAGUUUAUUUUUUGUUUGAUGUUCGCGGGAGUUGUAUCAGUAUGUCUUGAUCCCUUUUCUUGUUUUUUGAUUUACAGGGACCAUAUUCUGACAAUAUUAUAACGCUCGCUCGGUAAGGGUGUGGAUUGCUGGUUCGAGAGGUACGCGACAUCUCUAUUUACACUCGUAUCACUUGGUGCUGGAUUCAAAUAUUUCUCUUUGGAAGUAAAAGUUACGUAUUUUUUUAAUGUUGGUACCAAAGGGGUACUGCUGCGCAUUACAAAAAUUUCUACAAGUCUGCUAGAUUCAAAUAAUAUUUCUCUCACGCUUUUUGGUUGUAUUUGAGCAAUAAUUUGUCAGAGGCGGCAGGCCAGAUCGGGAAAUAUGGCAACUUUUUAGAAAUUGAUGCUGCGCGUUUACUUUACCAACAAGUUCUUAUGUUGGUUUUCAGGUAAUUCUCUUCCGCCCCGCUCCCUUUUAAUCAUCUUUAAUAUCUCAGCAUGGAAGUCCUCAGCUUCCUUGCCCCCCGGGCCCCACUUCUUUUAGUCUGCUCUUAAAGCUGGAGGUCAUUUUUUUUUGACGUUUGUUGUAGUCAAGAGAAAGGUUUCUAGGAUGCAUGAGAUGCUUGCCUCGUACUAGGGUGUCUUUUAUGUGGGAACCAUGUUCCCGUAAUCUUGGUUCUGUCUAUGGUUCGUAGUCCCAUAUGAACGAGGAUGCUGUGUUCUCGGGAUUUUUAUCUGAUGCGAGAAAGGUCGUCAUUCUUUAUUUCGAAGCCACAUUAGAUUGAUUUUGUGUCCCGGUAAAAGUGCCCUACUUUAUUUUAUUGAAAGUGAGAGUAAAUUGAUUUAUUGUUUCAAAAUAAAUUUGCGUCCGUGUUUAAUGGAAAAUUUUACGAUUUCUUCGGAGAAAGUAGAAUUCCCCAUGUCCUUCGGGUAGUUGGAACUUAAAAAGAAUGUGCUUGGAUCUUCUAACAGCAAGUAAAUAUUUUUGGGCAUUGUUUUAAGGUUCUUGCUUCCUUUGGUAGAAAAUAAUUUUUUAUGGUGUUCCGGUCCUGAAUUAUUGCUCAGAAACUGAAAGCAUGUUUUGUAAAUCUUUUAAAAAAUAAAUGAGCUUGAUGAACAAGAAAAUUUCCCAUUCUUGAGAAAACAAAAAAUGUUCCCUGGUCCCCCGGGUAGCACCAACUGUGAGAAAAUGUGUCUUGAGCAUUUUGAUUCCUAGUAAAUAUGUUUAUGUGUGUCGCUUCGGCAGUGAAAGCUAUCGUGAUGGGCACCCUUUCUCUCUUAGACGUUGCAAUUGGAUUUUCUAGUAUUUGAUAACCAUUUACAAAAGAUAUGUAUGCUCGGUUUUUGGAACUUUCAGAUGUAGUUUAUUGGAGAAAUGUUGUUGGUAUGUGUUUUGAAGCUUCAUUCAUGAAAUAUAGUUGGUGAAGGAUCAUUGUGGGCCGGGUCUCUUGAGUAGAAAACAUUAUUUCUGCAGCCCUUGCAUGCACGAUGAAUGUUUUAUCUGAGAUUCUCGGUCCAAAAUGUAAGAGCUUCAAUUCCAUAUUAACUACAUUUCAGUCCCAAAAUACUAGGGAAGCCAAUAUUUCAUUUUGAAAGUUAAAGGGUGUUGAUGUGUGUUUUGAAGCUUCAUACAUGAAAUAUAGCCGGUGAAGGAUCACUGUUGGCCGGGUCUCUUGAGUAGAAAACAGUAUUUGUGCAGCCCCUGCAUUCACAAUGAAUGUUUUAUUUGAGAUUCUCGGUCCAAAAUGUAAGAGCUUCAAUUCCAUAGUAACUACCUUUUCAGUCCCAAAAUACCAGGAAAGCCAAUAUUUCAUUUUGAAAGUUAAAGGUUGCUGAUGUGUGUUUUGAAGCUUCAUUUAUGAAAUAUAGUUGGUGAAGGAUCAUUAUUGGCCGGGUCUCUUGAGUAGAAAACAUUAUUUCUGCAGCCCGUGCAUUCGAAAUGAAUGCUCUAUUUGAGAUUCUCGGUCCAAAAUGUAAGAGCUUCAAUUCCAUAUUAACUUACUUUCAGGCCACAAAAAUCUAGGACAGGCAAUAUUUCAUUUUGAACGUUAAAGGUUGUUGCUGUGUGUUUUGAAGCUUCAUUUAUGAAAUAUAGUUGGUGAAGGAUCAAAAUUGGCCGGGUCUCUUUGAGUAGAAAACAUUAUUUGUGCAGCCCUUGCAUUCACAAUGAAUGUUUUAUUUGAGAUUCUGGGUCCAAAAUGUAAGAGGUUCAAUUCCAUAUUAACUACCCUUUAGUCCUAGGAAAGGCAAUAUUUCAUUUUGAAAGUGGAAGUUUUUGUCGAUAUUUCAAAACAAACUUAUGUGCCUCGGUGCAUGAGAACGUGAAUCUUGAUUUUUUGUGGCAAAAUGAAACUGCUUGCAACCCUCAAGAUGUACAGCCUCAAAAAGAUGUGGCUUAAAAUCUCAAGCCAAAGUUUGGGUGCGUCGGUUUGAAAGUGAGAGUUUCUUUGAUCACGCACUUUCUUUUGGAGAGUUAGGCGACGUUUCACUUAGUGGUGGCAAUAUGCUCUCCCAAUCUAUUUUUAGCGCGGACAGAAAAAGUUUCGUGCUAGGUUAUGGGAAUCGUCAUUAUACGUGGAAGAGGUUGCCGUUCUUUAUUUUGAAGCCACAUCGAUAAUCUAGUUGCAGCGUUUUUCCUCUGUAGAGGUGCCCCGAUUCGAUAUUUUGAAACCGACACUGUAUUUACUGAUUCUUUUAAAAUAAGUGUGCCCCUCGGUAUUCAAGCAGAAGUUUCUCUGUUUUUUGGGGAAGAGUAAAAUUGCUCUGUUCUCUUGGUUGGUUGGAACAUAGAAAGCAAUAUGUUUGGAUCUUUUGAUUGCAAGUAAAUAUUUUUUCGGCACGUGGUUUUAAAGCUUUUUGGCUUUUGUUAAAGAAUAGUUUUUUUAAAAAAAUAUAUAUACAAAAGAAUAGUUUCCUGUUUUGGAAGUUUCCUGGUUUGGGAAGUAAAUGAGACUCAAUUUAUACUUUAAAACCUAAAAGCUGUUUUUAUGCAUUAUUUAUGGAUAAAUGUGUGACUUGAUGCACAAGAAAAUGAAUUUUGAUUUCUUGGGGCAAUGUAAAUCUGCUUGGGUCUCUCUCGCAGUUCCAAGUUUUAGAAAAACUUGCAUUGACAAAGAUUUGAGGAUAUUGUGACAGCACCACUUCUGACACGGUAACUUGCUUUCAAUAUUUAGUUUACGUAAGGCAUACGAGAUGUGUUUUGAAGGUUUUGAAACCCAUGGUCUGUUGCUGCGAAAAUAUAUCAUUCGGAGUCCCGUAUUCAGAAAGUAAAAGGCCUCGAUUAAUCUUUUCGAAAGCUAGCCUGUCCAUUUAUUUUUUGAAAACGAUUUUUUUUGUUGGUCCCCUGAGCAAAUGUUCCUCAAUUUUUUGGGGCAAUGUGAGAUUUUGCAAAAUGUCCCUUGGAUAAUUCUUUCUCUAGCAAAAUGUCCCUUGAUCUUUUAGUUGGAAGUAACUAUUCUUUGCUAUGUUGGUUUAAUUAAAGUUUCUCUUGAUCUUUUGCUUUCGAAAUAAAUCUGCAGGUGUCCCCACAGGGAAAUUGUAGCAGUUGGAAAAGUAAGUGGAGGUCAAGUAAUUUUUUUAGAAACUGAAGGCGUGUUCUAUCGAUUAUUUUGAAAGAUAAGUGUGCCUUGGUGCAAAAGAAAAUGACUUUGGAUUUGCUGCAGCAAAGCAAAACUUUUUUGAUGCCCUGGGUUUUCGGAACUCUAAAAGUUGUGGUUUGGACUCUUGAUUCAAAGUAAGUGUUUUUGAGAAUACGUUGGUUUAAAGGAAAAGUAACUCUGAUAACAAACACCCUUUCUCUUGGAGAGUUGGCAGCCUUUCUCUACGUAACUGGCAGUGUGCUUUCUCAAUCAUUUUAUUGCUACGGGCGUAAGACAUGAUUGCUCGGUUAAAGGAGAUAUUCAUUUUAUUUGAGAAAGGCCUUCGUUCUUGAUUUGGGAGCCAAUUUAAUGAACUUCAGUAAAAGUGGGCGAAUUCAUUGACUCGCAAAUGAGAGUGCUUUGGUUUAUUGUUUCAAAAUAAAUGUACUUUGACUCCUAGGCAACGGUUUUUUAAAUUUCUCGGGAAAAAGUAAAAUUCAACCCGUCGCUCGGCCAGUUGGAGCUCAAAAAAAGCAUGCAUGUAUGCUGAAUUUGUCUUGGUUCUAAUCAUUGUUCUAAUGUAGGUCUUCAAAAAAUUGACCGAGAAAACUAUUUGAGAGAACCAAACCUUCGAAGUCUAUCGGACCCAAAGUGUAGUAGUCUAACCAAACUUCAGACCUUGUGGGAUCUUUUCUCUGUUUUCCUUUUUUUUUUUAAAGCAAUAUCUGUGGUUAAAAGAGAUUGGUACGUUUAACAUGCAAGGCAACUACGGAGCCUGGCGUAACCGCGUCAAUAUUAUGUUGCUGACUUUUCUUUGCUGUAGGUACUUAGUGGGAAACUUGUUUAAGCGGAAAGAACGGAGUUUGUUCCAGUGGCUAUCUACACAAACAACGUGUGCUACGCGGAAUGUGAGUAUUAUGUUACCCUGGAUUGUCUUGAAAAUAUUUCUCUCGCUUUUACUUUGUUUAAGAAACAUUUGUAGUUGUACAAAAUUAACGUUUAGAACAUGCGAGACGGUUAAAAAGCUACAGAUAACAGGGUAUGCUCAUUUUGCCAGCCUUUCCUUGGUGCAGCAAAUUGGAGCGAGGGUGAAGCCUUCCUAAGUGUAGAGCUACAGAUUGAAGGUUUUUGGACCCUACUUUAUUUAAUUUAAUAGUGGAACUUAUCCUUCUUGGAAAAUAGUAAAAGAGGCAAUCGGACCUGCUUUGUUGUUGUUUACUAGAGACGUGUUACUGAAAGGAACAAAUGAGGUUUCUUCCCAUUGCUGGUUGUGCAGGUGACGAGUGCGGCUGCGUGGCUUCUGAGUGUGAUUUUACUCCGUGUACAUUAUCAGGGAAUGGAGUUUUUACUCUUACCGAGUUUUAUUUUAUAGGGUUGUCGUCCCCGUAUUUGUAUCUGCAAUUUGUGUAGUGUUGGAACGGAAGUUUAUGGCUUGAACUUCCAUUUUGGUGGAUAUUCAACUUGGGAAAUAAGUCAUUUAGCGUGGUCCAGUUCCAGUGGAGUUCAUAGCAACCAUGUUGGCUCUUAACAAGCGGACUGAUCCGUUGAAUUACUUGCAAAUUUUGUGCUUGACUAGGGAUCUUUUGUUGAUAAAUAGAUCUUCCUAAGUGUUGGUUUGUAGUUAAUUUGAUUUUUUACCCACAAGUAGUCUUGUUCUUUUUAUCUUCGGUAUUAAACCCCUUGUUUCCUUGGAGAAGCAGCUGUUUUUGUUUCUAUUCGUGUCGUUUUGUUUACUUAGGCUCCUGUACAGUUUGCAAUUUUUUUUUGGGGCUUCAAAUGAUGAUCCAAUGUAGUGGUAAUUCGUACUGUUUCUGUUGCAAAAUGAGGAGUCAGUAUUCUGCAUAUUAGCAAAUGAUUAUUUAUACUUUGUGAUGCUCUUGGAAGUCCUUUAACCAUGGCUUGAUCCUUGUUCGUGUCUCUCUGAUUUGUGGGCGCGGCUAAAUGAUAUCCUUGGUGCAGGUGAAGUUUGUGAUUGUUAUUUGAAGAGGUACCCAAUAUCUGGCCAUUCUUCGCUGUUGUUUUCUUUCUUGCUACAUGUCAUUUUCACAGGUGCAGCUAUUUUUAUUCCAUAUUCGUCUUAUUGUUGGGCAGUGAUGCGGAGAUUGUGGCGGGGGAAGUGAUGCGGAGGGUAAAGAGAAGGAAGCUGAGAAGGUUGGUGUGGAAUAUCAUCAUCAGCCAAAACCAGGUGAUUUUGUGGUUUCUGGCAACGAAAAUAAGCUCGGUGUGAAUAUUGGAUCAGAAUUGUUGGGCACCAGGUUGACAAAGGGGGUUCUGCCCCAGGGAGAUGUGAUUUGAAAAAUGAUGCAGAGGAGGAGUUCGUGGUUUGUGGGAAGAUGAGAAUUGUCAAGGACUGGGAAGGCCAGUUGUGGAGACUGGGAACUGUCCUUUUUGCUGAGGUUCUUGGCAGAACCCUAACCGGUGAAGCUGUACAGGUGCUUGGUGGAGCAGACAACUCGCCACGCACCCGUCUGUGUGGAUUUGUCAGAGAAGGAAUAGAAAUUGAAAGGAAAAUUUGUAAGUAUUAUUUACGAGGAUUAAGAGAAUAAAUAAUUUAAAAUUAGAUAACAGUUUAAAAAAUUUUAAUAGAAUAUAUUUGUAGAUAUAAAUUUUUUUUAAUAAUACGCGUAUUAUUUAAUAAAUUUUUUAGAAAAAAGAAUUAUUAAAAAUUGUAUUGUAAUUAAGAGUGUUUAUUUUAUUGUGGUUUUUUAUUAUAAUAUUUGUAUUUAGAAAAAAUAUUUUUGUCGUUGGGUGAGUAAAAUAUAAAAUGUUUUUGAUAAUAGUUAAAUUGAAAAUUUAUUUUUUUAUAAAUUUAAAAUAAAAAAUUACAAAAGUAACAUGAAUUUUUAUUAAAAAUAAAUGUUAUUAUUAUUGUAUAAAUAAUAACAUAUUUUCACAAUUAUUUAUAAAAAUAUUUUUAAUGGAAAACUCAGUAAGGCAAUAAAAAAAAUAUUAUCUUUUUAAUUUUCUCUCUCUGCCGCUCUUCAUCUUCGGUCUCUGGUUUUCCUUUUUUCUACCCGAGGUUCCGCGUGUUUAUAAAGCACGUAGGUUGCGUCGCGGAGACGCAGCUCAGCUCCUCUAUAAAAGUGCUGAGACUUUCUUUCCUCCUUCCGCCUCUGCUGUCUCCUGAUCCGGUAAGGUUUUCUUCUGAUUGCCCAUUAGAUCUGGUCCCGCUCCGAUCUUCUAGAGAUUGGAGGCGGUCUUCAUUCUCUCUGAACGGAAGAGUGCAGAAAAUAGGGCUCUUCUGCUUCCGAGUCUUCUCUCUUGUGGCGAUUUAGAGGUUGCGUCACGGAGACGCAGCUCAGCUCCUCUAUAAAAGCGCUGAGACUCUCUUUCCUCCUUCCGCCUCUGCCGUCUCCUGAUCCGGUAAGGUUUUCUUUUUGAUUGCCCAUUAGAUCUGGUCCCGCUCCGAUCUUCUAGAGAUUGGAGGCGGUCUUCAUUCUCUCUGAACAGAAGAGUGCAGAAAAUAGGGCUCUUCUACUUCGGAGUCUUCUCUUUUGCGGCGAUUUAGAGGUUGCGUCGCGGAGAGGCAGCUCAGCUCCUCUAUAAAAGCGCUGAGACUCUCUUUCCCCCUUCCGCCUCUUCUGUCUCCUGAUCCGGUAAGGUUUUCUUUCGAUUGCCCAUUAGAUCUGGUCCCGCUCCGAUCUUCUAGAGAUUGGAGGCGGUCUUCAUUUUUUCUGAACGGAAGAGUGCAGAAAUUGGGGCUCUUCUACUUCCGAGUCUUCUCUCUUGCGGCGAUUUAGAGGUUGCGUCACGGAGACGCAGCUCAGCUCCUCUAUAAAAGCGCUGAGACUCUCUUUCCUCCUUCCGCCUCUGCCGUCUCCUGAUCCGCUAAGGUUUUCUUUUUGAUUGCCCAUUAGAUCUGGUCCCGCUCCGAUCUUCUAGAGAUUGGAGGCGGUCUUCAUUCUCUCUGAACGGAAGAGUGCAGAAAAUAGGGCUCUUCUACUUCCGAGUCUUCUCUCUUGCGGCGAUUUAGAGGUUGCGUCACGGAGACGCAGCUCAGCUCCUCUAUAAAAGCGCUGAGACUCUCUUUCCUCCUUCCGCCUCUGCCGUCUCCUGAUCCGCUAAGGUUUUCUUUUUGAUUGCCCAUUAGAUCUGGUCCCGCUCCGAUCUUCUAGAGAUUGGAGGCGGUCUUCAUUCUCUCUGAACGGAAGAGUGCAGAAAAUGGGGCUCUUCUACUCCUGAGUCUUCUCUCUUGUGGCGAUUUAGGGUUUUCCUCAGCUUCUUCUAGGUUCUAAUCGGUGAAGAGAGACGGAAGAACAGAGUUGAAGAGGGUAGGUGAAAGGAAGAGACAAUAAUUUGUAAGAGGUAUGUAUGUGUUAAUUUCUCUUAUGGAUUUGUGAGGAAUGUAUGCCUAAACGAUAAAGAGUUCCACCCGGAAAGUUUUCUGUGUUGUUCACAGUUUUGUCACCGAAGCACUAAAAUAUUUUACAAAGAGGAAAAACUCUCUCAGUGUUACGUUUAUUACCCGUUAUUGUUGAUUUACUGUGCGAUGUUCGUGGGAGCUGUAUCGAUGUGUCUUGAUCCCUCUUGUUUUUCCCUGAUUUACAGGGACCACAGUCUGACAAUAUUGUAAUCCUCGUUGAGUAAGGGUAUGGAUUGCUGGUUCAAGAGGGUAUGCAAUAUCUGUUUACACUCACACCUCUUGGUGCGGGUUCAAGAGGUAUGCUUGCCUCGAACAUGUGGUUGAACGGUAUCUUGGCCCAUUUUGAUGCUUUGAAAUGUUUAAUUUAAAUUUUACUACAUCCCUUCAGGGGUCAUAAAAUGAAGGGUAAAUGCAAAAAUAAAACCAAAUAUAAGGUGGAGGUUUUUAGAUUUUCGACUGAAUCACAAUUGAGUUGUUGGGUUUAACAAAAUUAUAAUUCAAUUUAGCCAAGUGUGAUCGGCUGAAAAUGCUAAAUUACCCUCAGCCUGCUGUGUAAUUGUUUCAGUAUUACUCUGUUGGGCUCUUAUAAAGCAAUGGAUCCAAAUGUUGC